UUUCCGUAGGUGAACCUGCGGAAGGAUCAUUAUGGAACGCUUGGGGGUCCUCACCGGACCUCCGACUCCACACACACACUCUGUGAAUCCCACCCCGUUGCUUCCGUGGCCGUAGCACGCUGCGGGAGGUCUCCCCACACUCUGGUUUUUCCCAUGCCCCUUCGGUCUGAGCUUAACCAAGCACAACAAGCAAAACCAUGAAAACCUUCAGCAACGGAUCUCUUGGUUCUCGCAUCGAUGAAGAACGCAGC
This 251-nucleotide unclassified non-coding RNA is filed under the name uncultured fungus. RNAcentral describes it as "sequence contains ITS1, 5.8S rRNA gene". The stretch from base 203 to 251 matches the Rfam family "5.8S ribosomal RNA", at positions 1 to 49 of the family's 154-position model. The record is from RNAcentral. Lineage: Eukaryota; Fungi.